AUUGAACGCUGGCGGAAUGCUUUACACAUGCAAGUCGAACGGCAGCACGGACUUCGGUCUGGUGGCGAGUGGCGAACGGGUGAGUAAUGUAUCGGAACGUGCCCAGUCGUGGGGGAUAACGUAGUGAAAAUUACGCUAAUACCGCAUACGAUCUAUUGAUGAAAGCGGGGGAUCGCAAGACCUCGCGCGAUUGGAGCGGCCGAUAUCAGAUUAGGUAGUUGGUGGGGUAAAGGCCCACCAAGCAAACGAUCUGUAGCUGGUCUGAGAGGACGACCAGCCACACUGGAACUGAGACACGGUCCAGACUCCUACGGGAGGCAGCAGUGGGGAAUUUUGGACAAUGGGCGAAAGCCUGAUCCAGCCAUUCCGCGUGCAGGAUGAAGGCCCUCGGGUUGUAAACUGCUUUUGUACAGAACGAAAAGGUUUCUACUAAUACUAGGAGCUCAUGACGGUACUGUAAGAAUAAGCACCGGCUAACUACGUGCCAGCAGCCGCCGCGG
RNAcentral lists this ribosomal RNA (500 nucleotides) under uncultured bacterium. RNAcentral describes it as "partial 16S ribosomal RNA". It matches the Rfam family "Bacterial small subunit ribosomal RNA", at positions 30 to 523 of the family's 1533-position model. The record is from RNAcentral.